GAUGAACGCUAGCUACAGGCUUAACACAUGCAAGUCGAGGGGCAUCAUGGUCUUAGCUUGCUAAGGCCGAUGGCGACCGGCGCACGGGUGAGUAACACGUAUCCAACCUGCCGUCUACACUUGGACAGCCUUCUGAAAGGAAGAUUAAUACAAGAUGGCAUCAUGAGUCCGCAUGUUCACAUGAUUAAAGGUAUUCCGGUAGACGAUGGGGAUGCGUUCCAUUAGCUAGUAGGCGGGGUAACGGCCCACCUAGCCUUCGAUGGAUAGGGGUUCUGAGAGGAAGGACCCCCACAUUGGAACUGAGACACGGUCCAAACUCCUACGGGAGGCAGCAGUGAGGAAUAUUGGUCAAUGGGCGCAGGCCUGAACCAGCCAAGUAGCGUGAAGGAGGACUGCCCUAUGGUUUGUAAACUUCUUUUAUUAAGGAAUAAAGUCGGGUAAGUAUACCCGUUUGCAUGUACUUUAUGAAUAAGGAUCGGCUAACUCCGUG
Molecule: ribosomal RNA, 490 nt
Filed under: uncultured bacterium
Lineage: Bacteria
Description: partial 16S ribosomal RNA
Rfam family: Bacterial small subunit ribosomal RNA
Source: RNAcentral